RNAcentral lists this ribosomal RNA (1028 nucleotides) under Escherichia coli. Its description in RNAcentral is "partial 23S ribosomal RNA". It matches the Rfam family "Bacterial large subunit ribosomal RNA", at positions 612 to 1642 of the family's 2925-position model. The record is from RNAcentral. Lineage: Bacteria; Pseudomonadati; Pseudomonadota; Gammaproteobacteria; Enterobacterales; Enterobacteriaceae.
AUAAUGGGUCAGCGACUUAUAUUCUGUAGCAAGGUUAACCGAAUAGGGGAGCCGAAGGGAAACCGAGUCUUAACUGGGCGUUAAGUUGCAGGGUAUAGACCCGAAACCCGGUGAUCUAGCCAUGGGCAGGUUGAAGGUUGGGUAACACUAACUGGAGGACCGAACCGACUAAUGUUGAAAAAUUAGCGGAUGACUUGUGGCUGGGGGUGAAAGGCCAAUCAAACCGGGAGAUAGCUGGUUCUCCCCGAAAGCUAUUUAGGUAGCGCCUCGUGAAUUCAUCUCCGGGGGUAGAGCACUGUUUCGGCAAGGGGGUCAUCCCGACUUACCAACCCGAUGCAAACUGCGAAUACCGGAGAAUGUUAUCACGGGAGACACACGGCGGGUGCUAACGUCCGUCGUGAAGAGGGAAACAACCCAGACCGCCAGCUAAGGUCCCAAAGUCAUGGUUAAGUGGGAAACGAUGUGGGAAGGCCCAGACAGCCAGGAUGUUGGCUUAGAAGCAGCCAUCAUUUAAAGAAAGCGUAAUAGCUCACUGGUCGAGUCGGCCUGCGCGGAAGAUGUAACGGGGCUAAACCAUGCACCGAAGCUGCGGCAGCGACGCUUAUGCGUUGUUGGGUAGGGGAGCGUUCUGUAAGCCUGCGAAGGUGUGCUGUGAGGCAUGCUGGAGGUAUCAGAAGUGCGAAUGCUGACAUAAGUAACGAUAAAGCGGGUGAAAAGCCCGCUCGCCGGAAGACCAAGGGUUCCUGUCCAACGUUAAUCGGGGCAGGGUGAGUCGACCCCUAAGGCGAGGCCGAAAGGCGUAGUCGAUGGGAAACAGGUUAAUAUUCCUGUACUUGGUGUUACUGCGAAGGGGGGACGGAGAAGGCUAUGUUGGCCGGGCGACGGUUGUCCCGGUUUAAGCGUGUAGGCUGGUUUUCCAGGCAAAUCCGGAAAAUCAAGGCUGAGGCGUGAUGACGAGGCACUACGGUGCUGAAGCAACAAAUGCCCUGCUUCCAGGAAAAGCCUCUAAGCAUCAGGUAACAUCAAAU